UACGGGGGGGGCAAGCGUUGUUCGGAAUUACUGGGCGUAAAGGGCUCGUAGGUGGCCAACUAAGUCAGACGUGAAAUCCCUCGGCUUAACCGGGGAACUGCGUCUGAUACUGGAUGGCUUGAGUUCGGGAGAGGGAUGCGGAAUUCCGGGUGUAGUGGUGAAAUGCGUAGAGAUCCGGAGGAACCCCAGAGGCGAAGGCGGCAUCCUGGCCCACGACUGACACUCAGACACGACAGCAUGGGGAGCGAACGGG
RNAcentral lists this ribosomal RNA (253 nucleotides) under uncultured bacterium. Its description in RNAcentral is "partial 16S ribosomal RNA". It matches the Rfam family "Bacterial small subunit ribosomal RNA", at positions 524 to 776 of the family's 1533-position model. The record is from RNAcentral.